AACGAACGCUGGCGGCAGGCCUAACACAUGCAAGUCGAACGCCCCGCAAGGGGAGUGGCAGACGGGUGAGUAACGCGUGGGAACCUUCCCUGUGGUACGGAAUAACUGACCGAAAGGUUGGCUAAUACCGUAUACGUCCGAGAGGAGAAAGAUUUAUCGCCAUAGGAUGGGCCCGCGUCGGAUUAGCUAGUUGGUGAGGUAAUGGCUCUCCAAGGCGACGAUCCGUAGCUGGUCUGAGAGGAUGAUCAGCCACACUGGGACUGAGACACGGCCCAGACUCCUACGGGAGGCAGCAGUGGGGAAUAUUGGACAAUGGGCGCAAGCCUGAUCCAGCCAUGCCGCGUGAGUGAUGAAGGUCUUCGGAUUGUAAAACUCUUUCGCCGGGGAAGAUAAUGACGGUACCCGGAGAAGAAGCUCCGGCUAACUUCGUGCCAGCCGCCGCGGUAA
RNAcentral lists this ribosomal RNA (447 nucleotides) under uncultured bacterium. RNAcentral's name for it is "partial 16S ribosomal RNA". It matches the Rfam family "Bacterial small subunit ribosomal RNA", at positions 29 to 523 of the family's 1533-position model. The record is from RNAcentral.